This 339-nucleotide transfer-messenger RNA is filed under the name Oscillospiraceae bacterium. RNAcentral's name for it is "partial transfer-messenger RNA". It matches the Rfam family "transfer-messenger RNA". Rfam says of the family: Bacterial tmRNA, also known as 10Sa RNA or SsrA, is named for its dual tRNA and mRNA-like properties. Its role is to liberate the mRNA from a stalled ribosome. To accomplish this part of the tmRNA is used as a reading frame that ends in a translation stop signal. The record is from RNAcentral. Lineage: Bacteria; Bacillati; Bacillota; Clostridia; Eubacteriales; Oscillospiraceae.
GGGGGCGUACCGGUUUCGACGGGGGUAGUGAGGCAGGAUAAGCGGGCAGAGGCGCCUGGCCUCUGAAAAACGGGCAAUUUUUUUAAAUUAACUGACAACAACACUGUUGCCCUGGCUGCCUAAGUAAAGGCGCCCAUCCUCCCCGGGAGGGCCACGGACCGGGCUAGGGUGUGAUUUGAGUGGCGAACGUGCGCACGGUAAGCUUUGCCCGUGCCAUGCAUGAUGAAGCUACCAAGCCGUAGAGUGUGUCUGCUCACGCUGCGGUAAGGGAAUGUAAAGAACAGACUCCGCCCGAAGAAAGUCCUGUCAAGUUAUUUUCGGACAGGGGUUCGACUCCCC